Molecule: ribosomal RNA, 465 nt
Filed under: uncultured bacterium
Lineage: Bacteria
Description: partial 16S ribosomal RNA
Rfam family: Bacterial small subunit ribosomal RNA
Source: RNAcentral
GAUGAACGCUGGCGGCGUGCUUAACACAUGCAAGUCGAACGGAAAGGCUCCUGCUUGCAGGGGUACUCGAGUGGCGAACGGGUGAGUAACACGUGGGUGAUCUGCCCUGCACUUCGGGAUAAGCCUGGGAGACUGGGUCUAAUACCGGAUAGGACGAUGGUUUGGAUGCCAUUGUGGAAAGUUUUUCGGUGUGGGAUGAGCUCGCGGCCUAUCAGCUUGUUGGUGGGGUAAUGGCCUACCAAGGCGUCGACGGGUAGCCGGCCUGAGAGGGUGUACGGCCACAUUGGGACUGAGAUACGGCCCAGACUCCUACGGGAGGCAGCAGUGGGGAAUAUUGCACAAUGGGCGCAAGCCUGAUGCAGCGACGCCGCGUGGGGGAUGACGGCCUUCGGGUUGUAAACUCCUUUCGCUAGGGACGAAGCGCAAGUGACGGUACCUGGAGAAGAAGCACCGGCUAACUACGUG